This 757-nucleotide ribosomal RNA is filed under the name Saxomyces americanus. RNAcentral's name for it is "SSU rRNA". It matches the Rfam family "Eukaryotic small subunit ribosomal RNA", at positions 42 to 820 of the family's 1831-position model. The record is from RNAcentral. Lineage: Eukaryota; Fungi; Ascomycota; Dothideomycetes.
GAUUAAGCCAUGCAUGUCYAAGUAUAAGCAAUCUAUACGGUGAAACUGCGAAUGGCUCAUUAAAUCAGUUAUCGUUUAUUUGAUAGUACCUUACUACAUGGAUAACCGUGGUAAUUCUAGAGCUAAUACAUGCUAAAAACCCCGACUUCGGAAGGGGUGUAUUUAUUAGAUAAAAAACCAGCGCCCUUCGGGGCUCCUUGGUGAUUCAUAAUAACUCAACGAAUCGCAUGGCCUUGCGCCGGCGAUGGUUCAUUCAAAUUUCUGCCCUAUCAACUUUCGAUGGUAGGAUAGUGGCCUACCAUGGUAUCAACGGGUAACGGGGAAUUAGGGUUCUAUUCCGGAGAGGGAGCCUGAGAAACGGCUACCACAUCCAAGGAAGGCAGCAGGCGCGCAAAUUACCCAAUCCCGACACGGGGAGGUAGUGACAAUAAAUACUGAUACAGGGCUCUUUYGGGUCUUGUAAUUGGAAUGAGUACAAUUUAAAUCCCUUAACGAGGAACAAUUGGAGGGCAAGUCUGGUGCCAGCAGCCGCGGUAAUUCCAGCUCCAAUAGCGUAUAUUAAAGUUGUUGCAGUUAAAAAGCUCGUAGUUGAACCUUGGGCCUGGCUGGCCGGUCCGCCUCACCGCGUGUACUGGUCCGGCCGGGCCUUUCCUUCUGGGGAGCCGCAUGCCCUUCACUGGGCGUGCCGGGGAACCAGGACUUUUACUUUGAAAAAAUUAGAGUGUUCAAAGCAGGCCUUUGCUCGAAUACAUUAGCA